This 210-nucleotide long non-coding RNA is filed under the name Elaeis guineensis (African oil palm). Its description in RNAcentral is "long non-coding RNA (EGUI_LNC025971)". Lineage: Eukaryota; Viridiplantae; Streptophyta; Magnoliopsida; Arecales; Arecaceae. The record is from RNAcentral.
ACCACUGUUGGGUUUGGAUAGCGCAACGAAAUAAUAGAUUUUAAAAAUUUAUUAUCAUGAAACCCAUGACACCCAAAACCUUUGAUCCAAGAUCCCUUGACUAAUUGCAACUAAUGAAUAAUUAAUAAUGCAAUUAAGAAGUAGUUUAGAUAAAUACCUCUUAUGCUAAAUUUUUAAAUCUUAAUAGACACACAAGCGUAUGCCCUCCAU